This 35-nucleotide ribosomal RNA is filed under the name Markea coccinea. Its description in RNAcentral is "partial 26S ribosomal RNA". Lineage: Eukaryota; Viridiplantae; Streptophyta; Magnoliopsida; Solanales; Solanaceae. The record is from RNAcentral. RNAcentral also lists the same sequence under 1 other name.
GGCGGGAUUACCCGCUGAGUUUAAGCAUAUCAAUA